UCGGAAGCCUGCCUGCACCUGGGCGCGCGCUCUUUGGUUCUACCGUUGCACGUUCCCUGAGCUUCUGCGGGGACUGCCUGGAGGGGCUGCGCUGCGCUGCCCGCCCCCCGACCCCGCCUGUAGGCACGGCUCACACUUAGACCGCAGCGCCCCGCAAGGGACCCAGUGGCCUGUCUGUAGAAUAAGGGUGAUUCGAAGGCAGAGCCUGGCUUGGUGACCCAGAGGUUUGUGGUCCUGAGCUCUGAGCACCAGUGUCCGCACCUGUAAAGCGCUCAGAACGUCGGAGUGUGACCCAGUACAAGUGGGGGUGGAAGGUGGGGAUCAAUUUCCGUUUCUCCGCAGCCUUUGUGGAAUGUUGCGUCUUUUGUCAAGACCUAGGAGAGAGACUGUGCUCUCUCCUGGCAUCCUCGGGCCUGGAAAUCCAGGCAGCUGCCAGAGAGGGCCGAGCGUGUACUUCGAAGCCACAGAGCCGCACUUCCUAGUGGAAUAUCCUCAUGGCUCUUAUAGGGAUGGGGACUCCCCACCCCCACGACAGACAGGGGAGGCUGGAAACCCGCUGGUGCCUGGCCUCAGCACACUCCUCUCUACACAGCCCAGGGGCAAUAGAGGCAUCCUCUUGGCUCUAGCUUGGUAUCGCCGUGGGCCAUUGUUUCUGGGCCUCCUGCACUCUGAGAAACAGGUUUCCACACCCAGGGCUCUGGUGUCUGCCAUGCUUGGGCUCAGCCAGCUCUGUGGCUGGGCUGGGUUCUUGCAGGCAGGGACAGCGCUGGGCCAUGGCCUUCCAAGCCUGUCCAUCUGCUCAUCCGACUGCCCUCAUUUGCCCAGUUUCCUGUGAUACGUCCACGGAACCCCAGUGAGCCUCCUGCAAAGAGGCAACCACAGGACACGUGGGAAAAGUGGCCUCUGCAUUGCUGUGGUUUCCACUUCCGGGUGAUUCGGACACCGUCCAGUUGAGGGCUAACAGCCGGGCAGCAGACUGCACAGUCACCAAGUCCUGGCUUUGCGGUGAUUCCCGUGCCCCCAGCACAAGCGUGGCAGGCGUACCAGGGUCCCCAUAUGGAGGCAUGAGGUCCCUGAGCUCCUUUCCAUGUCCCCAGAGACCUCACCAAAUUGUGCAUUGCCCUCUGGUAAGGCCAGACUUUAUAUGACGUGGUAACUCCAGUGUAAGGUGUUGAAUCCUGUCCCCACCAAAGACAGGUCCAGGUCCCAAAGCUUGGUCCCUGUGACUAUGAUUUUAUUUGGAAGUAGGGUCAUUGCAGAUGUGAUCGAGGUAAGAUGAGGUCGUCCUAGAUUACAGAGGGCCCUGUCCAGGGAUCCCCAUCCAUAUGAGAGGGAAACUUGAACGUACUGCUCCGGAGAUUCAGAGAAGGGGAGAGAACACCGUACAGACACAGAGGCAGAGCUCUGGGAUGGAGCCGGAGCCUAGAAACAACUACUGCUUGAGGUCCCGGUGUUGGUGAGAAAAUCCCGGUGGAACCGAAAAGCCCCUGUAGAAGCACGCUUUCCCGGGGUCAGGAGGACCCAGGGCUUCUGGAGUCCGACAUGCGCAGCUGUUGGAUCUCAGCAUCUUCACUCUCGUCUUUAACCUGCAAAAUGGGGUCCCGGUGCCCAGGAGGGGAAGGGAUGGAGAAUGCCAGGUGGCAGGGGCAGGGCACAAGGGAGACCCGCCCUCACCCUGCCCUCCUUUUGCCUGGCAUGCACUAGCUGGGGCUGCAGUGGCUCUUCCUGUCUGUCCUGGGAUCACUGUUGCUGGACGUUAGCCCCAUUCUACAGAUGGGGCAACUGAGGCCUAUGGGUCAGGGGAAUCACCAUCCAGGCAGGGAACCCAAUUCAGCCUUGUGCUGUUGGCCGCAGACCAAACGACCAGCAAUAAGGAUCCAAGGGGCCCUAGCAGCCAGAGAAAUCAGAGAGGACUCAGUCUGCAGUGGGGGCCACUGACUGGGACACCUAAGGUCAUGCCCUCAAUGACUGGCCGGUGACUCAGGAGGAAGCAGCUGAUGGGGAAACCGCUGGUCUUGCCCCAGCUGAGGAAGCAGGCCAGACAGUGAUAAGGAGCCACAGCCUCCCAUCCCCCACGCUCUGGGGACCUGCAGCCGGGGAGCCCGGAAGGACCCAGCAGGGCCCAGCCCUCAUGGGCAGGAAGGACCAGCGGAGGCCCCCUGAGAACCCACACCCACGAUCUCGUCCAACCCCGGCCAGGCCGUCACAUCACAGAGCGGAUGUAAGGGGGUUUUCGAGGCUCAGAAAUGCAGAAACUUGCCCCUAAUGCAAGCGGCAAACAGUUGGGCCUCAGUUUUGUUUCUGUGAAAUGGAACGAAAAAUGACCCCACCUCCCAGGGAGGCCGUGGGCCCCGGCUCCCUUCGGCUCCACCUUUGGGGACCAUUUUUUUCUCGCACUCACCAGAGCUUCUCAGCUCCAAUGCCCUGGUCUUUCAUUUCUUUUUAAAUUAACUACCUCCUACUCCAAGUCACAGGUCUUCUGAGCCUAGCCUUUUCAUGGCUAAAAGGGGUAGAGUCCUAUUUAGCUCCCAGGGAUGGGUGACAUAUAUAUAGAAUAACGUGACACCGCAGCGCUAUUCACAACAGCCAGACGAUGAGGCAACCCAAAGGGCCCUCCGCCGGCGGACGGGCCCGCGGGAUGCAACGGGGAACAUUAUUCGGCUCUAAAAAGGAAUGAAACUCUGAUUAUGUUGACACCCUGGAGAGAGCUUGAAAACCUGGUGCACAGGGAAAGAAGCCGGUCACAAAAGGCCACCAAGGCUACGAUUCUCUUCACAGGCAGGAUCCAGAACAGGCAGAUCCAUGGCGACUUCGGGAGGGGAUGAGCUGCUGCCAGGCGCUGGGAGAGGGCGCGGGAGGGACUGCUUCGGGGUGAGGCGUUUCCCUUCCGGGCGAGGGGAAAAUUUGCAAAGAGUUAUGGUGGCACACAUCGUGGACAUACUUAAUGCCACGGAACUGCACCCUUAAAAGGGGAUGAAACUGGGGGUUCCUGCGUGGCUCAGCAGGUGAAGGAUCUGGAGUCGUGACCGCUGUGGCGCUGGUUACAGCUGUGGCAUGGGUUGGAUCCCUGGCCUGGAGACUUCCGCAUGCUGCUGGUA
This 3098-nucleotide long non-coding RNA is filed under the name Sus scrofa (pig). Its description in RNAcentral is "lncRNA (ENSSSCG00000057872.1)". The record is from RNAcentral. Lineage: Eukaryota; Metazoa; Chordata; Mammalia; Artiodactyla; Suidae.